AAAAUUCUGAGUACACACAGAGGAUGGACAGACAAGAGCCAAGAGGGAAAUCAUGAGAUGUGCUGGUAUGCUGCUGUGCAAGGGGAGCAGAGCAACUCAAAAAGGCACAACCGCUUGUAAAAGCAGGAAAGCAGGCAACAGGCUGCUGCAGCUGCUGCAGAAGGGCAGCCAGGCAGCUGGAAGCUGCAGACAGAAUGAGGUCACCCUCCCCCCUCGCAGCAUCAUCCU
This is a non-coding RNA of Coturnix japonica (Japanese quail), 228 nucleotides long. NCBI's taxonomy places the organism in Eukaryota, Metazoa, Chordata, Aves, Galliformes, Phasianidae. The record is from RefSeq and is a predicted model, not a curated record.